This is an RNA transcript of Benincasa hispida (wax gourd), 1030 nucleotides long. RefSeq lists it as uncharacterized. Lineage: Eukaryota; Viridiplantae; Streptophyta; Magnoliopsida; Cucurbitales; Cucurbitaceae. The record is from RefSeq and is a predicted model, not a curated record.
UAAUGAAAAAUAAAAUGCUUUCGGAUUUAAGGCAGAUUUUCCUUUCCUCCUUCACGAUUUUUCCCCCCUCCUUCCACGUUUUUUUCAUUCCUUCUCCUUCACGAUUUCUCCAUCCUCAAGGGCCCUCACCGAUUUGAUCUCUCUGUAAUCUGCCUCACUCAUCGUUGUCACUCCUCAGAAUCUCCCUCCUCCUUUGGCUUUCACUUCUAGUUCUCGUCGGUAAGUUUAUUUUCCUUUCUUAUUUUUUUUCAAUUUCUCUCUGGCGUCAGUCCUUGUUCUCGUUGGUACUCUAUAUGCUACUACUGAUGUUUUUUUGUCAUUUAAGAUGGGAUGGUAUCUAAUGGGUUGAAUGGAAUGAAAUUAAAUGUUUAGGGAUUUUGAUUUUAGUUGUGAAGAUCAAGGGUUGUUUCUAUGGUUUAUUUUCUUUUCACUGCUUUCUUGAUAGAUUAUGUAUAUGAUAGCUUUCUUGUGCUUUGGAAUGGAAUAUUGUUUUCCUAGUUGAUCGUUUUGGUAUAAAAUUUUCAUUUUGGAAAUCCAUGCCCAUCGAAUCUGUUUCAUUUUUGUUUGUCUCUUGGAAAAUCUGCUUCCUCGACAUCGACGUUGGUACCAGAUGCGCUCGCGCAGGUACCUGAUGCAUGUUAUGGAUCAGAGUUGAAUCACAACAAGCCACAAUUGAAAAACUCUUGAGACGGUUGACAAGUCAAGAAUGUCCAUAAAGAUCAAGAACAGUCUAAUGGCAAUUAAAAGAUGUUAUGUCACGAUAGUUUUCAGUAUAAAGUUUCAAACUACAUUGGAUUAGAUUGUGUUAUGUGACGACAUAUAUUGUUUGGCUUCACUCUAAACAUUUGAUAGUCCUUAAGUAUUUUAUGUAGGUUUGAAACAUAUCGUGCAAUAAUUUUGUUUGGUUGUUAGGCCAUUUAUUGUAACUCUGCUAGAUUUGAAAUAUGUUUUAUAGCUAUUCUCAGAGUAUUGUAUUGAAACUGGAAUUGAUCAAUAUUGAAAUGAAAUGCCAAAUUGUGUUUUGGAAGUA